GAUGAACGCUAGCUACAGGCUUAACACAUGCAAGUCGAGGGGAAACGGCAUUAAGUGCUUGCACUUUUUGGACGUCGACCGGCGCACGGGUGAGUAACGCGUAUCCAACCUUCCCAUGACUAAGGGAUAACCUGCCGAAAGGCAGACUAAUACCUUAUGGUCUUCACUGACGGCAUCAGAUGUGAAGUAAAGAUUUAUCGGUUAUGGAUGGGGAUGCGUCUGAUCAGCUUGUUGGCGGGGUAACGGCCCACCAAGGCAACGAUCAGUAGGGGUUCUGAGAGGAAGGUCCCCCACAUUGGAACUGAGACACGGUCCAAACUCCUACGGGAGGCAGCAGUGAGGAAUAUUGGUCAAUGGGCGAGAGCCUGAACCAGCCAAGUAGCGUGCAGGAUGACGGCCCUAUGGGUUGUAAACUGCUUUUGUAUGGGGAUAAAGUCAAUCACGUGUGAUUGUUUGCAGGUACCAUACGAAUAAGGACCGGCUAAUUCCGUGCCAGCAGCCGCGGUAAUACGGAAGGUCCGGGCGUUAUCCGGAUUUAUUGGGUUUAAAGGGAGCGUAGGCUGGAGAUUAAGUGUGUUGUGAAAUGUAGACGCUCAACGUCUGACUUGCAGCGCAUACUGGUUUCCUUGAGUACGCACAACGUUGGCGGAAUUCGUCGUGUAGCGGUGAAAUGCUUAGAUAUGACGAAGAACUCCGAUUGCGAAGGCAGCUGACGGGAGCGCAACUGACGCUGAAGCUCGAAGGUGCGGGUAUCGAACAGG
RNAcentral lists this ribosomal RNA (761 nucleotides) under Prevotella melaninogenica. Its description in RNAcentral is "bacterial SSU rRNA". It matches the Rfam family "Bacterial small subunit ribosomal RNA", at positions 28 to 776 of the family's 1533-position model. Lineage: Bacteria; Pseudomonadati; Bacteroidota; Bacteroidia; Bacteroidales; Prevotellaceae. The record is from RNAcentral.